Molecule: ribosomal RNA, 504 nt
Filed under: uncultured bacterium
Lineage: Bacteria
Description: bacterial SSU rRNA
Rfam family: Bacterial small subunit ribosomal RNA
Source: RNAcentral
UGAGUAAUGUCUGGGAAACUGCCCGAUAGAGGGGGAUAACUACUGGAAACGGUAGCUAAUACCGCAUAACCUCGUAAGAGCAAAGUGGGGGACCUUCGGGCCUCACGCUAUCGGAUGUGCCCAGAUGGGAUUAGCUAGUAGGUGGGGUAAUGGCUCACCUAGGCGACGAUCCCUAGCUGGUCUGAGAGGAUGACCAGCCACACUGGAACUGAGACACGGUCCAGACUCCUACGGGAGGCAGCAGUGGGGAAUAUUGCACAAUGGGCGCGAGCCUGAUGCAGCCAUGCCGCGUGUAUGAAGAAGGCCUUCGGGUUGUAAAGUACUUUCAGCGGGGAGGAAGGCGAUGAGGUUAAUAACCUCGUCGAUUGACGUUACCCGCAGAAGAAGCACCGGCUAACUCCGUGCCAGCAGCCGCGGUAAUACGGAGGGUGCAAGCGUUAAUCGGAAUUACUGGGCGUAAAGCGCACGCAGGCGGUCUGUCAAGUCAGAUGUGAAAUCCCCGGG